CGCCUGCCGGCGACCGGCGCACGGGUGAGUAACACGUAUGCGACCUGCCCCCGCAGGGGGAUAACCGGGAGAAAUCCCGACUAAUACCGCGUAACGCCGCGGACCUGCAUGGGUCUGCGGCCAAAGGAAGCGAUUCCGGCGGGGGAUGGGCAUGCGGCGCAUUAGUUAGUUGGCGGUGUAACGGACCACCAAGACGACGAUGCGUAGGGGUUCUGAGAGGAAGGUCCCCCACACUGGUACUGAGACACGGACCAGACUCCUACGGGAGGCAGCAG
Molecule: ribosomal RNA, 275 nt
Filed under: uncultured bacterium
Lineage: Bacteria
Description: partial 16S ribosomal RNA
Rfam family: Bacterial small subunit ribosomal RNA
Source: RNAcentral